AUGACUAAUGUUACUUUGCUCCGCUCUUUGUUUCUUUCCAGCCCCUCUCCAGUUCCAGCGUUUCUUCUGUUUCUUCUCAAUGUGACGAAACCUGAGCAUGAAUGGGAAGAGUUCACUCGUAAUGCGGCCAGCCCCUGCGGUGCCGAGCUGAGAAAGUCUGUGGUUGUUAUUUCCUCCUGCGGGGUGUUUGUGGAUGACCAUCGCUGUCCCGAGAGCACCAGCCUGCGCAGCAGACAGCACGGUGCGGCCAGGCAGACGGUGGGCAGUGUCUGGGCAAACGUGGUGGUGUGUCCUGCUCAUGGCCAUGCCCAGCUCAAACCAGCUCCAACCCCGGCAAUGUCAACUUCAAAGGCUUCCCCACGCUGCAGCCACACUUCUGCCUGCGGAGACAAUUUUGGAAUCUCCUGAAGGCACAAGGAUGUUGGGACGCUGCGUGGCCUUUGGGGGCUCCAAGGGGAGAGAGCAGGACUCCAGGCACUGCCGUGCUGGCAGCAGGAGGGGUGCUGACUUGUCCUUGUGCACGGAAACCCUCCAGAGCUCUCCCGGCUGACAUUGGAUCAGAGACAAACAUAAACAAGCGCAGCCCUCCCAAGGCCGAAGGAAAGCCCCAGCCCCCUGGGGAGGCAGAGUUAAUUCCAGGAUGCUGCUGGAUGAGCUCGAGUGAGGGCUUGGCUGUGGCAAAGCUCUCGCUUCCCGUCUUCGUUCUGGGCAACUUUUCUGGUAGGGGAAGUUGUCUGAGAUGCCAAUAAAGAUAAUAAUGUAUGAAGUGAUUUCUUUAAG
RNAcentral lists this long non-coding RNA (780 nucleotides) under Anas platyrhynchos platyrhynchos (common mallard). Its description in RNAcentral is "lncRNA (ENSAPLG00000025174.1)". The record is from RNAcentral. Lineage: Eukaryota; Metazoa; Chordata; Aves; Anseriformes; Anatidae.